UACGAAGGGGGCUAGCGUUGCUCGGAAUUACUGGGCGUAAAGGGCGUGUAGGCGGCCCUCUAAGUCAGACGUGAAAUCCCCCGGCUUAACCUGGGAACUGCGUCUGAUACUGGAGGGCUUGAGUAUGGGAGAGGGAUGUAGAAUUCCAGGUGUAGCGGUGAAAUGCGUAGAUAUCUGGAGGAAUACCGGUGGCGAAGGCGGCAUCCUGGACCAUUACUGACGCUGAGGCGCGAAAGCUAGGGGAGCAAACGGG
Molecule: ribosomal RNA, 253 nt
Filed under: uncultured bacterium
Lineage: Bacteria
Description: partial 16S ribosomal RNA
Rfam family: Bacterial small subunit ribosomal RNA
Source: RNAcentral